This 440-nucleotide ribosomal RNA is filed under the name uncultured bacterium. Its description in RNAcentral is "partial 16S ribosomal RNA". It matches the Rfam family "Bacterial small subunit ribosomal RNA", at positions 338 to 795 of the family's 1533-position model. The record is from RNAcentral.
CCUACGGGUGGCAGCAGUGGGGAAUAUUGCACAAUGGGGGAAACCCUGAUGCAGCGACGCCGCGUGAGUGAAGAAGUAUUUCGGUACGUAAAGCUCUAUCAGCAGGGAAGAAAAUGACGGUACCUGACUAAGAAGCCACGGCUAACUACGUGCCAGCAGCCGCGGUAAUACGUAGGGGGCAAGCGUUAUCCGGAUUUACUGGGUGUAAAGGGAGCGUAGACGGCAGCGCAAGUCUGGAGUGAAAUCCCAUGGCUUAACCAUGGAACUGCUUUGGAAACUGUGCAGCUAGAGUGCAGGAGAGGUAAGCGGAAUUCCAAGUGUAGCGGUGAAAUGCGUAGAUAUUAGGAGGAACACCAGUGGCGAAGGCGGCUUACUGGACUGUAACUGACGUUGAGGCUCGAAAGCGUGGGGAGCAAACAGGAUUAGAUACCCGAGUAGUC